RNAcentral lists this small nuclear RNA (92 nucleotides) under Otolemur garnettii (small-eared galago). The record is from RNAcentral. Lineage: Eukaryota; Metazoa; Chordata; Mammalia; Primates; Galagidae.
GUGCUUACUUCGGCAGCACAUAUACUAAAAGAAGAUUAGCAUGGCCCCUGCACAAGGAUGACACGCAAAUUUGUGAAGCAUUCCAUAUUUGU